RNAcentral lists this long non-coding RNA (1319 nucleotides) under Equus asinus (donkey). RNAcentral describes it as "lncRNA (ENSEASG00005032613.1)". The record is from RNAcentral. Lineage: Eukaryota; Metazoa; Chordata; Mammalia; Perissodactyla; Equidae.
AUAGGCUCCAUAUCUGGCUUAUCUUUGGAGCCGACUCUGUGCCUCAUAACACCUAGUCGAGUGCCUACAUAAGAGGCCCUCCAUAAAUAUUUAUCGAUGAAUAUAUAUGAAUGGCAUUUUAUUCCUUUUCCAAACUCUGUGUGUGGUGAAAGAUUAUAUUAAUCUUUGGUGAGACAACAUUUCCUGGAUCCUUAGAAAAAUGCAUGCAAAUCUUUCAGUCUCUGUGAGUCAUAAGAUGCUGGGGUGAUCAAAGUCUACCCUUAUUUGGGGGGAAACGCUAAAUCAGUGCUGUCUUGGGGAAAGAUACCAAAAUGUCCAAUGGAGAGACCCUUUCUCUGAGGAAGAUUUAACAUUUGCAGAUAACACGGAAAGGCAUUUCUAGAAGACAACUUGAAGUAAAAGCUAGCGGUUUCAUUUGGCUUGCUCUUCAGCUGAAAGGACAGCAUCAGUAAAGAUGGAGAGAUUGAAAUCCAAGCAAUGGGGUGUCUGCUGGAUAGAAGCUUCCUAGGAGAGGGCAGAGGAGGAGUCUGGGAGCUGGUGGGAAGGCUGAGGAAGCGUCCUUCCUCUGCAUCAGGAGGAAGAGCCAAGAGACCUGAGAACUGGAGCUGAGAGGUGACAAGCUGAGGGAGCUCAAGCUGCCAGUGCACUGCUCUCUGUGCGUAAACGUGGCCAGGCACCUGCUGCCAGGAGGGAGGCAGGCGUGGGUCCGGGAAUCAGAGCAGAAAUGAGACCGUGUCUAACAGUGACAGUGCAGCGCACAGCGUCAAGUUGCUCAGCUGCUAAAUUUGGGUUCCAUGAAUUUGUGAAUACGCCAAUUCAGCUUUUUAAAAAUUUUUUUUGUGAAGAUUUCGAUAAUUCCUCUUAAGUGUAUCAGAUCAGAUUCUGUUAAAAGUUCUGAAGACUUUUGCUCAGCAUAUAAAAAUAAAUAAUUAUAAAAUUAACUCCACAUCUCCCAUAUGCCCUAAUCCUUAGUGAAAAUAUACGUGCAAACCUGUGACUUAUGUGAUUAAAAAUUCCAUUACUAAUGGGAAAUUAAAUGAACUCAAUAAAACCGUCUUACCUAUGUAGUCUCUUGAGUUUCUCUUUCUGUCGAAUGCUAAAUUACAAUAAAACCUUGGCUGCCUAAAUUCAGAGAAUGAGUCAUCUUGAGUAGUUGAAUUUUUGUUUAGAAAAUGUUGCCGUUGUAUAGGGUGUUCUGUCACAGCAGGAAAAAUGUUUAUAUACUUUUCAUUAGAUAAGUAGUAAAUGUUUACUGUGAUAAAUUUGGAAUGUAUAAAAAAGCAGAAAGAAUAAAAUAAAAAUAGCAAAUUACUCCAAAA